RNAcentral lists this ribosomal RNA (497 nucleotides) under uncultured bacterium. Its description in RNAcentral is "partial 16S ribosomal RNA". It matches the Rfam family "Bacterial small subunit ribosomal RNA", at positions 28 to 507 of the family's 1533-position model. The record is from RNAcentral.
GACGAACGCUGGCGGCGUGCCUAAUACAUGCAAGUCGAGCGAACAGACGAGGAGCUUGCUCCUCUGACGUUAGCGGCGGACGGGUGAGUAACACGUGGAUAACCUACCUAUAAGACUGGGAUAACUUCGGGAAACCGGAGCUAAUACCGGAUAAUAUAUUGAACCGCAUGGUUCAAUAGUGAAAGACGGUUUUGCUGUCACUUAUAGAUGGAUCCGCGCCGCAUUAGCUAGUUGGUAAGGUAACGGCUUACCAAGGCAACGAUGCGUAGCCGACCUGAGAGGGUGAUCGGCCACACUGGAACUGAGACACGGUCCAGCCUCCUCCGGGAGGCAGCAGUAGGGAAUCUUCCGCAAUGGGCGAAAGCCUGACGGAGCAACGCCGCGUGAGUGAUGAAGGUCUUCGGAUCGUAAAGCUCUGUUAUUAGGGAAGAACAAAUGUGUAAGUAACUAUGCACGUCUUGACGGUACCUAAUCAGAAAGCCACGGCUAACUACGUG